Molecule: transfer RNA, 72 nt
Filed under: Bos taurus (domestic cattle)
Lineage: Eukaryota; Metazoa; Chordata; Mammalia; Artiodactyla; Bovidae
Also listed under: 4 other names
Rfam family: tRNA
About the family: Transfer RNA (tRNA) molecules are approximately 80 nucleotides in length.
Source: Rfam by way of RNAcentral
UCCUGGCAGUCUGGUGGUUAGGACUCAGCACUUGCACUGCAGGGGACCCAGGUUCAAUUCCUGGUCCAGGAA